AUUGAACGCUGGCGGCAUGCCUUACACAUGCAAGUCGAACGGCAGCACGGGUGCUUGCACCUGGUGGCGAGUGGCGAACGGGUGAGUAAUACAUCGGAACAUGUCCUGUAGUGGGGGAUAGCCCGGCGAAAGCCGGAUUAAUACCGCAUACGAUCUACGGAUGAAAGCGGGGGACCUUCGGGCCUCGCGCUGUAGGGUUGGCCGAUGGCUGAUUAGCUAGUUGGUGGGGUAAAGGCCUACCAAGGCGACGAUCAGUAGCUGGUGGGAGAGGACGACCAGCCACACUGGAGCGUAGCCACGGCCCAGGCUCCUACGGGAGGCAGCAGUGGGGAAUUUUGGACAAUGGGCGAAAGCCUGAUCCAGCAAGGCCGCGUGUGUGAAGAAGGCCUUCGGGUUGUAAAGCACUUUUGUCCGUAAAGAAAUCCUUGGCCCUAAUACGGUCGGGGGAUGACGGUACCGGAAGAAUAAGCACCGGCUAACUACGUG
Molecule: ribosomal RNA, 486 nt
Filed under: uncultured bacterium
Lineage: Bacteria
Description: partial 16S ribosomal RNA
Rfam family: Bacterial small subunit ribosomal RNA
Source: RNAcentral